RNAcentral lists this ribosomal RNA (253 nucleotides) under uncultured bacterium. Its description in RNAcentral is "partial 16S ribosomal RNA". It matches the Rfam family "Bacterial small subunit ribosomal RNA", at positions 524 to 776 of the family's 1533-position model. The record is from RNAcentral.
UACGUAGGGGGCAAGCGUUGUCCGGAUUUAUUGGGCGUAAAGAGCGUGUAGGCGGUUCGGUAGGUCCGUUGUGAAAACUCGAGGCUCAACCUCGAGACGCCGAUGGAAACCAUCGAACUAGAGUCCGGAAGGGGAGAGUGGAAUUCCUGGUGUAGCGGUGAAAUGCGCAGAUAUCAGGAAGAACACCCGUGGCUAAGGCGGCUCUCUAGUACGGUACUGACGCUGAGACGCGAAAGCGUGGGGAGCGAACAGG